RNAcentral lists this ribosomal RNA (497 nucleotides) under uncultured bacterium. RNAcentral's name for it is "partial 16S ribosomal RNA". It matches the Rfam family "Bacterial small subunit ribosomal RNA", at positions 28 to 507 of the family's 1533-position model. The record is from RNAcentral.
GAUGAACGCUGGCGGCGUGCCUAAUACAUGCAAGUCGAGCGAACAGACGAGGAGCUUGCUCCUCUGACGUUAGCGGCGGACGGGUGAGUAACACGUGGAUAACCUACCUAUAAGACUGGGAUAACUUCGGGAAACCGGAUCUAAUACCGGAUAAUAUAUUGAACCGCAUGGUUCAAUAGUGAAAGACGGUUUUGCUGUCACUUAUAGAUGGAUCCGCGCCGCAUUAGCUAGUUGGUAAGGUAACGGCUUACCAAGGCGACGAUGCGUAGCCGACCUGAGAGGGGGAUCGGCCACACUGGAACUGAGACACGGUCCAGACUCCUACGGGAGGCAGCAGUAGGGAAUCUUCCGCAAUGGGCGAAAGCCUGACGGAGCAACGCCGCGUGAGUGAUGAAGGUCUUCGGAUCGUAAAACUCUGUUAUUAGGGAAGAACAAAUGUGUAAGUAACUAUGCACGUCUUGACGGUACCUAAUCAGAAAGCCACGGCUAACUACGUG